GCAGAUAUGGCCGAGUGGUUAAGGCGAUGGUCUUAAGCACCAUUAUCGAAAGAUGCAAGGGUUCGAACCCCUUUGUCUGCA
Molecule: transfer RNA, 81 nt
Filed under: Stachybotrys chartarum IBT 7711
Lineage: Eukaryota; Fungi; Ascomycota; Sordariomycetes; Hypocreales; Stachybotryaceae
Also listed under: 3 other names
Description: tRNA-Leu (TAA) (tRNA-Leu-TAA-2-1)
Rfam family: tRNA
About the family: Transfer RNA (tRNA) molecules are approximately 80 nucleotides in length. Their secondary structure includes four short double-helical elements and three loops (D, anti-codon, and T loops).
Source: RNAcentral